UGGGGAAUUGUUCACAAUGGGCGCAAGCCUGAUGACGCAACGCCGCGUGGGGGAUGAAGGUCUUCGGAUCGUAAACCCCUGUCGAAUGGGACGAAAGACUCGCGAGUGAAUACUUCGUGAGAGUGACGGUACCGUUAAAGGAAGCCACGGCUAACUCUGUGCCAGCAGCCGCGGUAAUACAGAGGUGGCAAGCGUUGUUCGGAAUUACUGGGCGUAAAGGGCGCGUAGGCGGCCCUCUAAGUCAGACGUGAAAUCCCCCGGCUUAACCUGGGAACUGCGUCUGAUACUGGAGGGCUUGAGUAUGGGAGAGGGAUGUAGAAUUCCAGGUGUAGCGGUGAAAUGCGUAGAUAUCUGGAGGAAUACCGGUGGCGAAGGCGGCAUCCUGGACCAUUACUGACGCUGAGGCGCGAAAGCUAGGGGAGCAAACGGGAUUAGAUACCCAAGUAGUCCCUGAGCGGGCUGGCA
This 465-nucleotide ribosomal RNA is filed under the name uncultured bacterium. RNAcentral describes it as "bacterial SSU rRNA". It matches the Rfam family "Bacterial small subunit ribosomal RNA", at positions 355 to 814 of the family's 1533-position model. The record is from RNAcentral.